Molecule: ribosomal RNA, 524 nt
Filed under: uncultured microeukaryote
Lineage: Eukaryota
Description: SSU rRNA
Rfam family: Eukaryotic small subunit ribosomal RNA
Source: RNAcentral
UGGUCAUAUGCUUGUUUCAAAGCCUAAGCCAUGCAUGUCUAAGCACAGCUUGUAAAAGUGAAGCCGCGAAUAGCUCAUUACAACAGCCGUUGUUUAUUGGAUCUCCAUUCUCUACUUGAAUAACUGUGGUAUUUCUAGAGCUAAUACAUGCGACCAAGUCCUGAACUUACGUGACGGAUGCAUUUAUAAGAACAAGACCAACCGGCUUCGGCCGUUCUCUGGUGACUCUGAAUAACUGAGUGAAUCACAUGGUCUAGUACCGGUGAUGUAUCUUUCAAGUGUCUGCCUUAUCAACUUUCGAUGGUAGUUUAUGUGCCUACCAUGGUUGUAACGGGUAACGGAGGAUAAGGGUUUGACUCCGGAGAGGGAGCCUGAGAAACGGCUACCACUUCUAAGGAAGGCAGCAGGCGCGCAAAUUACCCAUUCUCGGCACGAGGAGGUAGUGACGAAAAAUACCAAGCUGGUGCCCAUUGGGUACCGGCAUUGGAAUGAGAACAAUCUAAAUCUUUUAACGAGGAUCUAGU